UGUUUUCCUUUUCGCUUUGCCGAUCAUUUACACUGGUAUUUUCUUACUCAGAUUCAAAUAUUCCGAUAAAUCCACUUUUCUUUGACGAUCAUUCAUCAGAUCUAUGCUUUAGGCCCUCGUCAUUUGAUCAUUAUUCACGCGAACCACACAGAUCUCUCAAAUAGAAACUAAGCCCAUCUGUCCUCAAAUCAUUUCCACUAAUAUAUAGUCUCAACUGCAGAUCGAACCUCAGAGACAUGCAGAGGCGAUGCCAGAUCGUUCCUCCGUGGAAUAGAUGUGAACCGCUUGCCAUCGACGGCCGACUGCGAAGAAGAGGCCGGCGUUUCAUCACCAAACAGCACGAUUUCCAGCGUAAGCGGGAAAAGAAGCGAGAGAGAAGCAAACGGAGACGAGCAUGAGAUGGAGAGAGCUUGUUCUCGCGGAAUCAGCGACGAAGAAGAUGGCGACACUUCGAGAAAGAAGCUUAGACUCUCUAAGGAUCAGUCCGCGAUUCUCGAAGAAAACUUCAAAGAACACAACACUCUCAAUCCAGUAAGUAGCCUACAGUGAUUCUGUGUUUGGUUUCUGAGAAAAAGGAGGAAAAAAGAGAAAAUUUUCUUCCGAGGGGUAUUUUGGUAUUUUUGCUGAAAAUGGAGGGGUUGAUACUUGCAGAAGCAAAAGCUGGCCUUGGCUAAGCAACUGAACCUGAGACCAAGACAGGUGGAGGUGUGGUUUCAGAACAGAAGGGCAAGGUGAGACAAUUCUUCUAUGUCUGAAGGGCAUUUUCGGCAUUAAAAGUGUAGAAUUACAGUUAUACCCUUGGGGCCUGAUGUUUUGAGUGGGGAAAUUUUGACAGGACCAAGUUGAAGCAAACGGAGGUUGACUGUGAGUUCUUGAAGAGAUGCUGCGAGAAUCUGACGGAGGAGAACAGACGGUUGCAGAAGGAGGUGAAUGAGCUGAGAGCACUGAAACUUUCCCCACAGUUCUACAUGCAAAUGACCCCACCCACAACCCUCACCAUGUGCCCAUCAUGUGAGCGUGUGGCGGUCCCACCUCCCUCGUCGGAGGCUCGCUCCCACCAGAUGGCCACCACCCACCACCGUCCCAUCCCCAUCAACCCUUGGGCCACCGCCACUCCCAUCCCCCACCGCCCCUUCGACGCCCUCCAUCCUCGCUCCUGAUUAGCACAGUUGUCGAAGGGCUUUUUGGUCAUUAAAAAUUAUGUGUACGAAAGGAGAGGAAGGAG
Molecule: long non-coding RNA, 1225 nt
Filed under: Vitis vinifera (wine grape)
Lineage: Eukaryota; Viridiplantae; Streptophyta; Magnoliopsida; Vitales; Vitaceae
Description: long non-coding RNA (VVIN_LNC007515)
Source: RNAcentral